Molecule: transfer-messenger RNA, 227 nt
Filed under: Synechococcaceae bacterium WB9_3_282
Lineage: Bacteria; Bacillati; Cyanobacteriota; Cyanophyceae; Synechococcales; Synechococcaceae
Description: partial transfer-messenger RNA
Rfam family: Cyanobacteria transfer-messenger RNA
About the family: Bacterial tmRNA, also known as 10Sa RNA or SsrA, is named for its dual tRNA and mRNA-like properties.
Source: RNAcentral
CUGCCACAAUGAUGGGGUUCGAUUCCGAUCGAACUAGGUGAUCCACACCAGUGCUUCGGACAGCGGUUCGAUUCCGCUCAGCUCCAUUACCCCCUAUUGCAAGGGGCUGCAAUGGUUUCGACGGGGCAUCAGGCGGAUGACUGAAGCCUGCUCGGUGAGAGCAAAACCGUAACAGCGAACAACAUCGUUCGUUUCUCCCGUCAAGCCGCCCCCGUGGCCGCCUGACC